UAAGGGAUAUUGCGACAAUGGGCGAAAGCCUGACGCAGCAACGCCGCGUGCGGGAGGAAGGCCUUCGGGUUGUAAACCGCUUUUGUAGGGGGAAGGAGGAAGGACGGUACCCCUCGAAUAAGUCUCGGCUAACUACGUGCC
This 141-nucleotide ribosomal RNA is filed under the name uncultured bacterium. Its description in RNAcentral is "partial 16S ribosomal RNA". It matches the Rfam family "Bacterial small subunit ribosomal RNA", at positions 355 to 509 of the family's 1533-position model. The record is from RNAcentral.